RNAcentral lists this ribosomal RNA (951 nucleotides) under Acinetobacter baumannii. Its description in RNAcentral is "partial 23S ribosomal RNA". It matches the Rfam family "Bacterial large subunit ribosomal RNA", at positions 1 to 995 of the family's 2925-position model. Lineage: Bacteria; Pseudomonadati; Pseudomonadota; Gammaproteobacteria; Moraxellales; Moraxellaceae. The record is from RNAcentral.
GUUGUAUAGUCAAGUAAUUAAGUGCAUGUGGUGGAUGCCUUGGCAGUCAGAGGCGAUGAAAGACGUGAUAGCCUGCGAAAAGCUCCGGGGAGGCGGCAAAUAUCCUUUGAUCCGGAGAUGUCUGAAUGGGGGAACCCACCUACUUUAAGGUAGGUAUUGCAACAUGAAUACAUAGUGUUGCAAGGCGAACGAGGGGAAGUGAAACAUCUCAGUACCCUUAGGAAAAGAAAUCAAUUGAGAUUCCCUCAGUAGCGGCGAGCGAACGGGGAUCAGCCCAUUAAGUUAUGUGUGUUUUAGUGGAACGCUCUGGGAAGUGCGAACGUAGAGGGUGAUAUUCCCGUACACGAAAGGGCACACAUAAUGAUGACGAGUAGGGCGAGGCACGUGAAACCUUGUCUGAAUAUGGGGGGACCAUCCUCCAAGGCUAAAUACUCCUGACUGACCGAUAGUGAACCAGUACCGUGAGGGAAAGGCGAAAAGAACCCCUGUGAGGGGAGUGAAAUAGAUCCUGAAACCGCAUGCAUACAAGCAGUGGGAGCACCUUCGUGGUGUGACUGCGUACCUUUUGUAUAAUGGGUCAGCGACUUAUAUUCAGUAGCGAGGUUAACCGUAUAGGGGAGCCGUAGAGAAAUCGAGUCUUAAUAGGGCGUUUAGUUGCUGGGUAUAGACCCGAAACCAGGCGAUCUAUCCAUGAGCAGGUUGAAGGUUGGGUAACACUAACUGGAGGACCGAACCCACUGUCGUUGAAAAGCCAGGGGAUGACUUGUGGAUAGGGGUGAAAGGCUAAUCAAGCCUGGUGAUAGCUGGUUCUCCCCGAAAGCUAUUUAGGUAGCGCCUCGGACGAAUACCAUAGGGGGUAGAGCACUGUUUCGGCUAGGGGGUCAUCCCGACUUACCAAACCGAUGCAAACUCCGAAUACCUAUGAGUACUAUCCGGGAGACAGACUGCGGG